Long non-coding RNA from Belonocnema kinseyi, 780 nucleotides. RefSeq lists it as uncharacterized. NCBI's taxonomy places the organism in Eukaryota, Metazoa, Arthropoda, Insecta, Hymenoptera, Cynipidae. The transcript has 5 exons. The record is from RefSeq and is a predicted model, not a curated record.
UGAGCCAAAAGUAUUCCGAUUAAACUUUAGAAACAUCUUUCAUCGGAAAUAGAAAAUUAUUUUGCAGGUGAAUCUGCUGCUACAUAUUUCAUACCGUUCUGUAUGGAAAAUGGAUUGCGAAUACCAAACAAUGAAAAAUUAAUCGAGCACUUUCAUUACGUAAAGCGUUUGUUGCAAGAGAAGAAGAUUCUCAUUAACACUAAGCCAAAGAAACACAAUAGAGAACAUAGAUCCCUUUAAACUAUUUUGACGUACAGAAGGAAAAAUGGAAGUUUCUUCAAAAUCAUUCUGAUCCCUUCUCAGAAGUUGAAAAGGCCUUUAAAAGUACCAGCCGACGAUGCAGCUCUCAUUCGACUGCUGACAGGGUUAUCUCGUAAUUUAAAGCAGCAAGAUAUUCUUCUAUUUUAUUUAUUACAUUAAAUUUGCCCAACCGAGAAAAACAAGAGAAAAAAAGGGGAACCUAAUGUAAUUUCCAAUGAACUAAAAUUGACAAAUAAAGAAAAGAGAAGUGCUUGUCUCCUGCAUGUGGCAGACGCGACUGAGUUGGAUAGAACUAUAAACAAACUACGAGAUUCAUUGAGAGCCAAACACUGUAAACUUCAACCCCUGACGAUUAUCAUUGGUUCGCUCCUGGAAGUUAAGGCUUACUAUGUGGCUUUUGAUGAUAGUAAAUACUCUACAAGUUCAAUGUUUAGUACUGUUGAUAUGAAUUUAAAAGUAUUUCACGUUUUUGACUGCGAGUACCUGUCAGAUUCGUAUAACAUGUGGAAGUUUAUGCAG